CCUACGGGGGGCAGCAGUGAGGAAUAUUGGUCAAUGGGCGCAAGCCUGAACCAGCCAUGCCGCGUGCGGGAAGAAGGUACUGUGAAUCGUAAACUUCUUUUGUCAGGGAACAAAGGCAGUUACGAGUACCUGUCUGAAAGUACCGUACGAAAAAGGAUCGGCUAACUCCGUGCCAGCAGCCGCGGUAAUACGGAGGAUGCGAGCGUUAUCCGGAUUUAUUGGGUUUAAAGGGUGCGUAGGCGGGCUGAUAAGUCAGGGGUGAAAGCCCGGGGCUCAACGCCGGAAGUGCCUUUGAUACUGGUGGGCUGGAGUGUGGGUGAGGUAGGCGGAAUGUGUGGUGUAGCGGUGAAAUGCUUAGAUAUCGUGCAGAACACCGAUUGCGAAGGCAGCUUACCG
RNAcentral lists this ribosomal RNA (396 nucleotides) under uncultured bacterium. Its description in RNAcentral is "partial 16S ribosomal RNA". It matches the Rfam family "Bacterial small subunit ribosomal RNA", at positions 338 to 731 of the family's 1533-position model. The record is from RNAcentral.